UACGGAAGGCAGCAGUGGGGAAUAUUGCACAAUGGGCGAAAGCCUGAUGCAGCUAUGCCGCGUGUAUGAAGAAGGCCUUAGGGUUGUAAAGUACUUUCAUCGGGGAGGAAAAACAAAACUAAUAAUUUUAUUUCUUGACGUUACCCGAAAAAGAAGCACCGGCUAACUCCGUGCCAGCAGCCGCGGUAAUACGGAGGGUGCUAGCGUUAAUCAGAAUUACUGGGCGUAAAGAGCACGUAGGUGGUUUUUUUAAGUCAGAUGUGAAUCCCUGGGCUUAACCUGGAACUGCAUUUUGAAACUGAAAUACUAGAGUAUCGUAGAGGGAGGUAGAAUUCUAGGUGUAGCGGUGAAAUGCGUAGAUAUCUGGAGGAAUACCUGUGGCGAAAGCGGCCUCCUAAACGAAUACUGACACUGAGGUGCGAAAGCGUGGGGAGCAAAC
Molecule: ribosomal RNA, 439 nt
Filed under: uncultured bacterium
Lineage: Bacteria
Description: bacterial SSU rRNA
Rfam family: Bacterial small subunit ribosomal RNA
Source: RNAcentral